UCGGCAAUGGGGGCAACCCUGACCGAGCGAUGCCGCGUGCGCGAUGAAGGCCUUCGGGUUGUAAAGCGCGAAAGUGGGGAGAAAGGCCGCAAGGCGUGAUCUAUCCACAGAAGCUCGGGCUAAGUUCGUGCCAGCAGCCGCGGUAAGACGAACCGAGCGAACGUUGUUCGGAAUCACUGGGCUUAAAGGGCGCGUAGGCGGGCUGUCAAGUUUGGGGUGAAAUCCCGCGGCUCAACCGGGGAACUGCCUCAAAUACUGACGGUCUCGAGGGGGAUAGGGGCGAGCGGAACUGAUGGUGGAGCGGUGAAAUGCGUUGAUAUCAUCAGGAACUCCGGUGGCGAAGGCGGCUCGCUGGAUCCCUUCUGACGCUGAGGCGCGAAAGCCAGGGGAGCAAACGGGAUUAGAUACCCCGGUAGUCCUGGCCCUAAACGUUGGGUACUAGGUAGUAGACUUGACAUGGUUUACUGCCGAAGCAAAAGUGCUAAGUACCCCGCCUGGGGAGUAUGGUCGCAAGGCUGAAACUCAAAGGA
Molecule: ribosomal RNA, 530 nt
Filed under: uncultured bacterium
Lineage: Bacteria
Description: bacterial SSU rRNA
Rfam family: Bacterial small subunit ribosomal RNA
Source: RNAcentral